GUCCAAAGAGCAAUAAAUGGCACAUGCCUGUCACCUCUUUGACCAAUGAUAAUAUAGCCACUAUAAUUAUAGACAAUGUUCAAAUUCUUGGCCAGUAGCAAGAUUGAAAUUGUUCAUUUUCUUAACAAAGAAUGACAUUACUAUGAUUAAUGAAAUUUUCUUAACAGAAAAUGAAAUUAAUAUGAAAUCCAAAUAAUGAUUGCAUAAGUGACUAGCUAAUUAUAGGUGAAAAGCAAGGAUCAAUGGUGACAAUGUCUCAAAUUUGUUAUCAUCUUCUCUGCUCUGUACUCAUCAGAAUGGAUGUCCUUGUUCAUAUUUGAGGAUCAGAACAUCCUCCAAGGUCAUGUACUCUGUUUGCACCCUGCUUAGGAAGGAGCAUGCAGACCAAUGUGAGUAAUGGUCAAAGUCCUUACUUUGGUUUCGGUGGUUUGUUUAAGACUACUCAAUGUAUUAUUUAAAAGUGUGAAAUACACUUGAAGAUGGCCAAUGCUAUCCCAAUUAUAUGGGAGUGACAUGAAAUAUUAUAUUGAUGAUGCGUAUAUAUAAAACAGGAUAAUGAAACACACCUAAUGUUUCAGCGAUUCUACAUACUGAUAUGGAAUAUCAGAAGUGUUAUUGGAUUUUGUGAAUCAUGAGCCUUGAAAGUUACUAAUGAAUAAAUGACUUAAUCAAUAGACAAGGUAGAAAUGAACAGCAAAAUAGAGAUCAGCCCUGAUCAAUGAUGACUACUUGGUGGCGUAUGAGCCAGAUACAACAAAUACGUGUCUGAAACUCCGAGGUCCAUCACAAAUGAAAUCUGGCCCAUUCCUUCUGAUUCAAAUGAUCCUGUGAAUACACAAUAUGUUUGCUUUUGGUCUUUGGGUUUGUUCACUUCAUUCUAUUAUUACAAUUGGAUAAAUGAAAUAAUUUUUACGUAUACAUGCACGUAUAUGAAGGGGAUGAAGUAUUGUCCAAUGAUAAAAUAAGUGGUGAGGCAAGAUGUGUUAUUAUUAUAUUAAAGCUUUUAUAUAUUAAAUAGAAAGUAAUAUUAAUUAAUAUAUAAUAUUUAAUGUAAUAUUUAACAUGUUAAAUAUAAUAAUAUGUUAAAAUAUUAUAUUAAAGCAUUGACGUCUCAAGAGAAAUAAACGUUACACCACUGUAACUUGUUUGACCAAGGAUGAUACAUUUGGUAUUUAUACAUAAAAGUCAACAUCUGGGUCAAGGAAAGUUGCAAGGUAUUCAUUUUCUUAAGAGAAAAUAAAAUAAGUAUCCUUCAAAUAAUGAUUUCUCAAAUGUUUUCCUCAAGGGAAGAUGACAAACACAGAUCAAGGAGGACUGUCUCAUCUGUUUGUGCUCUGCUCUGCGAGCUUCGGGAUGGAUGUUUGCCCGCUGAUCCCAUGGUUACAAGCUCUGUGGCUGCAUCUAUGCGUUCGGAGCAUGAAGACCAAUAAUGGAUGCACUGAGCUGAUUAUGAAUUUAGCCCUGAUCAAGACCUGUGUUGUUGUCCUUACAUGAAAGAUUUCAAUGUGAGUAAUAGUCAAGUUCUUGUGUGGUUUGGGUGGUUUGUUUAAGGGUAUUUACUGUGUUAUUGAAAAUAAAAAAAAUAAUCAACUAAUAUAUAUACAUGUGUGUGUUUGCAUAUAUAAUGAAUAUCAAUAUAUACUUCAAUUAGUGAACCAUGAAUUUUUAUAACGAUUCCACAUGAAUUACUGAAUUAAGCAGCAAAUACUGUAGAUUUGGAUGAAAAGAAAGUGGGCCCUGCCUGGACCAAUGAUGACGAAUACCGGCGUAUGAGUCUUGGAUGAUGAAUAAUACGUGUCUGGAACUCUGAGGUCCAAUGCAAAAGAAAGCCAGUCCUUUCUGCUCAUGAUUUUCCUUCUAUUAUUGUAAUUGGAUCAAUACAAGAAUCAAUGAACAAAUAUAUAACUAAAUAAAGAUGACUCAUGUGAACCAUUGUCCAAUUAUAAAAAUAGAUGACGUGGCAAGAAAUAGUAUUAUUAUAUGCUGGAAACUCUGCAGUCUAAAGAGAAAUAAAUGGUACAGGAUUGUUAAAUCUUUGGCUAAAUACGAUGUGGACAGUAAUAGAUAAAUAUCUGUAUUCAUUUUCUGGGUCAGUGGCAAGAUUGACGUCGUUAGCCUGCAUAGGAGAAAAAUAAGCAUUAUUACAAAUUACUAAUUGUAUAUGACUAACGGAAAGAGGAGUUGAAGGCCAGUGGAAAGAAUGUUACAACCUUUUAAAAAUCAACUAUUCUGCUCAGUAAUCCUCAGAAUGAACGCACUUGAGUUGAUUCAAGCACUCUGCCAUGGCCAUGAGCUCUGUGGUCGCAUCUGUGUGUCAGGAGCAUGCAGACCAAUAUGGAGCAGCAUAGAUGCACCAAGUGGACUUGGCGCUCUGCUAGGAUGGAAACCUGUAUUGCUGUUGUGUCUGGAAAGCAACUAACGUGGGUAAUAGCCAGAAGUUUUGUCUUCCUUUGGGUACUUGAUUAAAGAGUGCUAAUCUCAAGGUGAUUUAUGCCUUCUUCCAUGGCCACCAGCCCUGUGGUUGUACCUCUGUAUCAGAGCUUAGAGAUCAACAAUAGCUGCUUUUGAGGUGAUUCGAUCUCAUCCCUGCUCACCAGCAUCUUGGCUGCAUCUCUGUGUUAGAGUGUGAAGACCAAUAAUGGAUACAGCGAGCUGUUUCAAGCAUUCUGUUGGGAUCAAAAUUUUUGUGCUGGCUCUGUGUUUGGAAAGACACCAAGAAUGGAUACUAUCAUGGCCACAAGUUCUGUGGUUGCCUCUCUGUAUUAAGAGCACGGAGACUAAAGUGAGUAAUGCCUGAAAUUAUUUUCUUGGUUUCAGUAUUUCUUUUAUCUUAAGAUUAUUCACUAUAUUAUUAAAAAGCAUAAAAUGUAAUGAAUAUGAUUAUAACAGUGAUAAAUAUGGGAUGUCUGAAACAUUGUAUCGAUUAAUGCAUAUAUGAAAAAUAAGAGAAUGAAACUGAUAUGUUGAUAUGAGAAUAAUUCUAUGUACCAAUUUGGGAUAUAAGGACUCUUCUUGAGUUUUUGUGAAUAAUAACAUUAUCAUUUUAUGAUUUAAUGAAUUAAUCAAUAACCAAAUGUAGGUGACAAUAGAGCAGAAGGGCCAGUCCUGGAUCAAUGAUGACUACUGGUGGCGUAUGAGUCAUAGACGAUGAAUACGUGUCUGGAACUCUGAGGUCCCGUGUGAAAGAGAUGUAAUUCAUUUACUCUGGUUGGAUGGCCCUGCAGGCAGUUACCGGGAAUAUACGAGGAUCUUGGUUUUGGUCUUUGUGCUCAUGCCUUUUCAUUCUGUGCAGAGAAUGCCUCAAUUUAAAAAAAAAUCUUUUUACCCUUUUCUCUGAUUUAUAUUUCUCAGAAUGGACCCACUCAAGCUGACUUAAGAAUUCCUCCUUGGUCACAAGAUUUUUCGUUGCAUGUCUGCAUUAGGAGCCUAGAGAACAAUAGUUUUAAAAUUAUAAUUACUAAAUUGAUG
Cebus imitator (Panamanian white-faced capuchin) is the source of this 3468-nucleotide long non-coding RNA. RefSeq lists it as uncharacterized. NCBI's taxonomy places the organism in Eukaryota, Metazoa, Chordata, Mammalia, Primates, Cebidae. The record is from RefSeq and is a predicted model, not a curated record. The transcript is spliced from 8 exons.